This 22-nucleotide microRNA is filed under the name Monodelphis domestica (gray short-tailed opossum). Its description in RNAcentral is "mdo-miR-12297h-3p". Lineage: Eukaryota; Metazoa; Chordata; Mammalia; Didelphimorphia; Didelphidae. The record is from miRBase by way of RNAcentral.
GAACAAGGCGUCACACAAAGGA